Molecule: ribosomal RNA, 489 nt
Filed under: uncultured bacterium
Lineage: Bacteria
Description: partial 16S ribosomal RNA
Rfam family: Bacterial small subunit ribosomal RNA
Source: RNAcentral
AUUGAACGCUGGCGGCAGGCCUAACACAUGCAAGUCGAACGGUAACAGGAAGAAGCUUGCUUCUUUGCUGACGAGUGGCGGACGGGUGAGUAAUGUCUGGGAAACUGCCUGAUGGAGGGGGAUAACUACUGGAAACGGUAGCUAAUACCGCAUAACGUCGCAAGACCAAAGAGGGGGACCUUCGGGCCUCUUGCCAUCGGAUGUGCCCAGAUGGGAUUAGCUAGUAGGCGGGGUAACGGCUCACCUAGGCGACGAUCCCUAGCUGGUCUGAGAGGAUGACCAGCUACACUGGAACUGAGACACGGUCCAGACUCCUACGGGAGGCAGCAGUGGGGAAUAUUGCACAAUGGGCGCAAGCCUGAUGCAGCCAUGCCGCGUGUAUGAAGAAGGCCUUCGGGUUGUAAAGUACUUUCAGCGGGGAGGAAGGGAGUAAAGUUAAUACCUGUGCUCAUUGACGUUACCCGCAGAAGAAGCACCGGCUAACUCCGU